AGAGUUGCCUCUCAAGUGGGUCUGUGCGAAGGAGCCUCUUCGGGCACGGGAGGGUGCCCGCAGCCACCUGUGCGCCGGGAUCCCUCGUUUUCCUAGAGAUUCCAUAUCAUCUAAAGACCAAAUAUGGAUCCUGAAACUGAGAUAAAGAAGCAAUUAAAUCAUUUCUACUGCAAUAAUCUGCACAAUGUGGUGUGCUUCUGCAUUAAACUUGCAGACUCAUUUCCUUGGAUUCAAGCACAAGAUAGGCGAUGAUGAUUUGUUAAAUAAGACUGAAGAAGCUCUGAAAACUCAUGGCACUGUUAAAACUGCAAGUAGCUCAGAGGAGCAAGUGAAUGCACCUGUGAAACUUCUUGGUUAUGUGCAGACUGAGUCAGAGAGGUUUCGGGCAGACCUUGGAAGAACAACUUAAUACAUAAAAAGAUUCAGAACCUGCACUUGUUGCUGACCUUUGAAAUUGUCCGUUCUGUUGAGAGAGGAGAGAGGGGUGUGGGCAGGAGAGAUGUGAACUACGUGGGUAUGUAUUAGAAUGUAUAAAACACAUUUUAUUCUAAAUAGUUAUGACAGAACUUUUCAGCAUCAAAUUUCCUAACUUUUUUUAAUUAACACAGGACUUAAUUGUAUAGCUGAAUACCGAUCAAAAGCCAUUUUCCCUUUUCUAUAUGAAUGUCAGCUGUGCCACUGUAAAACAGGACUGAGUAAAAUGUUUAUGCAUGUUUAUGGCUCCAAGCAUAGACUGGCAUAUCUGGUAAGCUUUUAGAAUAAAGGUGGUGUUCUGAUGUAAUGGUUUAAGUAG
This 793-nucleotide long non-coding RNA is filed under the name Struthio camelus australis. Its description in RNAcentral is "lncRNA (ENSSCUG00000014921.1)". Lineage: Eukaryota; Metazoa; Chordata; Aves; Struthioniformes; Struthionidae. The record is from RNAcentral.